This 467-nucleotide ribosomal RNA is filed under the name uncultured bacterium. RNAcentral's name for it is "partial 16S ribosomal RNA". It matches the Rfam family "Bacterial small subunit ribosomal RNA", at positions 28 to 506 of the family's 1533-position model. The record is from RNAcentral.
GACGAACGCUGGCGGCGUGCUUAACACAUGCAAGUCGAACGGAAAGGCCCUGCUUUUGUGGGGUGCUCGAGUGGCGAACGGGUGAGUAACACGUGAGUAACCUGCCCUUGACUUUGGGAUAACUUCAGGAAACUGGGGCUAAUACCGGAUAGGAGCUCCUGCUGCAUGGUGGGGGUUGGAAAGUUUCGGCGGUUGGGGAUGGACUCGCGGCUUAUCAGCUUGUUGGUGGGGUAGUGGCUUACCAAGGCUUUGACGGGUAGCCGGCCUGGGAGGGUGACCGGCCACAUUGGGACUGAGGUACGGCCCAGACGCCUACGGGAGGCAGGAGUGGGGAAUAGUGCACAAUGGGCGGAGGCCGGAUGCAGCAACGCCGGGUGCGGGAGGACGGCUUUCGGGUUGUAAACCGCUUUCGCGUGUGACGAAGCGUGAGUGACGGAAAUGGGUAAAGAAGCACCGGCUAAUUACGG